Molecule: ribosomal RNA, 149 nt
Filed under: Cortinarius violaceus
Lineage: Eukaryota; Fungi; Basidiomycota; Agaricomycetes; Agaricales; Cortinariaceae
Also listed under: 4 other names
Description: 5.8S ribosomal RNA
Rfam family: 5.8S ribosomal RNA
About the family: 5.8S ribosomal RNA (5.8S rRNA) is a component of the large subunit of the eukaryotic ribosome. It is transcribed by RNA polymerase I as part of the 45S precursor that also contains 18S and 28S rRNA. Functionally, it is thought that 5.8S rRNA may be involved in ribosome translocation.
Source: RNAcentral
AACUUUCAGCAACGGAUCUCUUGGCUCUCGCAUCGAUGAAGAACGCAGCGAAAUGCGAUAAGUAAUGUGAAUUGCAGAAUUCAGUGAAUCAUCGAAUCUUUGAACGCACCUUGCACUCCUUGGUAUUCCGAGGAGUAUGCCUGUUUGAG